This 247-nucleotide ribosomal RNA is filed under the name uncultured bacterium. Its description in RNAcentral is "partial 16S ribosomal RNA". It matches the Rfam family "Bacterial small subunit ribosomal RNA", at positions 114 to 354 of the family's 1533-position model. The record is from RNAcentral.
CACGUAGGGAACCUGCCCAUGCGGCCGGGACAACUUCCGGAAACGGAUGCUGAUACCGGAUAAGGAAAGCGAAGGCAUCUUUGCUUUGUUAAAGGAGCUGCAAGGCUCCGCGCAUGGAUGGACCUGCGGUGCAUUAGCUGGUUGGUGAGGUAAAGGCUCACCAAGGCGACGAUGCAUAGCCGGCCUGAGAGGGCGAACGGCCACACUGGGACUGAGACACGGCCCAGACUCCUACGGAAGGCAGCAG